This 586-nucleotide ribosomal RNA is filed under the name uncultured bacterium. RNAcentral's name for it is "bacterial SSU rRNA". It matches the Rfam family "Bacterial small subunit ribosomal RNA", at positions 338 to 916 of the family's 1533-position model. The record is from RNAcentral.
CCUACGGGAGGCAGCAGUAGGGAUCUUCCGCAAUGGACGAAAGUCUGACGGAGCAACGCCGCGUGAGCGAUGAAGGCCUUCGGGUCGUAAGCUCUGUUGUCAGGGAAGAACAAGUACCGGAGUAACUGCCGGUACCUUGACGGUACCUGACCAGAAAGCCACGGCUAACUACGUGCCAGCAGCCGCGGUAAUACGUAGGUGGCAAGCGUUGUCCGGAAUUAUUGGGCGUAAAGCGCGCGCAGGCGGUUCCUUAAGUCUGAUGUGAAAGCCCCCGGCUCAACCGGGGAGGGUCAUUGGAAACUGGGGAACUUGAGUGCAGAAGAGGAGAGCGGAAUUCCACGUGUAGCGGUGAAAUGCGUAGAGAUGUGGAGGAACACCAGUGGCGAAGGCGGCUUUCUGGUCUGUAACUGACGCUGAGGCGCGAAAGCGUGGGGAGCAAACAGGAUUAGAUACCCUGGUAGUCCACGCCGUAAACGAUGAGUGCUAAGUGUUAGGGGGGUUUCCGCCCCUUAGUGCUGCAGCUAACGCAUUAAGCACUCCGCCUGGGGAGUACGGCCGCAAGGCUGAAACUCAAAGGAAUUGACGG